RNAcentral lists this ribosomal RNA (253 nucleotides) under uncultured bacterium. RNAcentral describes it as "partial 16S ribosomal RNA". It matches the Rfam family "Bacterial small subunit ribosomal RNA", at positions 524 to 776 of the family's 1533-position model. The record is from RNAcentral.
UACGGAGGGGGCAAGCGUUGUUCGGAAUUACUGGGCGUAAAGGGCGCGUAGGCGGCCCGCUAAGUCGAACGUGAAAUCCCCAGGCUUAACCUGGGAACUGCGUCCGAUACUGGCAGGCUUGAAUCCGGGAGAGGGAUGUGGAAUUCCAGGUGUAGCGGUGAAAUGCGUAGAUAUCUGGAGGAACACCGGUGGCGAAGGCGGCAUCCUGGACCGGCAUUGACGCUGAGGCGCGAAAGCUAGGGGAGCAAACGGG